Molecule: ribosomal RNA, 484 nt
Filed under: uncultured bacterium
Lineage: Bacteria
Description: bacterial SSU rRNA
Rfam family: Bacterial small subunit ribosomal RNA
Source: RNAcentral
AGAGUUUGAUCAUGGCUCAGAAUCAACGCUGGCGGCGUGCCUCAGACAUGCAAGUCGAACGAUUAAAGCUCUCUUCGGAGAGUGCAUAGAGUGGCGCACGGGUGAGUAACACGUAAGUAAUCUACCUUCGAGUGGGAAUAACGUCCGGAAACGGACGCUAAUACCGCAUAAUGCAGCGGCAUCGUAAGAUGACAGUUGUUAAAGAUUUAUCGCUUGAAGAGGAGCUUGCGGCAGAUUAGCUAGUUGGUAAGGUAAUGGCUUACCAAGGCUACGAUCUGUAACCGGUCUUAGAGGACGGUCGGUCACACUGACACUGAAUAACGGGUCAGACUCCUACGGGAGGCAGCAGUCGGGAAUUUUGGGCAAUGGGCGAAAGCCUGACCCAGCAACGCCGCGUGAAGGAUGAAGUAUUUCGGUAUGUAAACUUCGAAAGAAUAGGAAGAAUAAAUGACGGUACUAUUUAUAAGGUCCGGCUAACUACGUG